AAAUUGAAGAGUUUGAUCAUGGCUCAGAUUGAACGCUGGCGGCAGGCCUAACACAUGCAAGUCGAACGGUAACAGGAAGCAGCUUGCUGUUUCGCUGACGAGUGGCGGACGGGUGAGUAAUGUCUGGGAAACUGCCUGAUGGAGGGGGAUAACUACUGGAAACGGUAGCUAAUACCGCAUAACGUCGCAAGACCAAAGAGGGGGACCUUCGGGCCUCUUGCCAUCGGAUGUGCCCAGAUGGGAUUAGCUUGUUGGUGGGGUAACGGCUCACCAAGGCGACGAUCCCUAGCUGGUCUGAGAGGAUGACCAGCCACACUGGAACUGAGACACGGUCCAGACUCCUACGGGAGGCAGCAGUGGGGAAUAUUGCACAAUGGGCGCAAGCCUGAUGCAGCCAUGCCGCGUGUAUGAAGAAGGCCUUCGGGUUGUAAAGUACUUUCAGCGGGGAGGAAGGGAGUAAAGUUAAUACCUUUGCUCAUUGACGUUACCCGCAGAAGAAGCACCGGCUAACUCCGUGCCAGCAGCCGCGGUAAUACGGAGGGUGCAAGCGUUAAUCGGAAUUACUGGGCGUAAAGCGCACGCAGGCGGUUUGUUAAGUCAGAUGUGAAAUCCCCGGGCUCAACCUGGGAACUGCAUCUGAUACUGGCAAGCUUGAGUCUCGUAGAGGGGGGUAGAAUUCCAGGUGUAGCGGUGAAAUGCGUAGAGAUCUGGAGGAAUACCGGUGGCGAAGGCGGCCCCCUGGACGAAGACUGACGCUCAGGUGCGAAAGCGUGGGGAGCAAACAGGAUUAGAUACCCUGGUAGUCCACGCCGUAAACGAUGUCGACUUGGAGGUUGUGCCCUUGAGGCGUGGCUUCCGGAGCUAACGCGUUAAGUCGACCGCCUGGGGAGUACGGCCGCAAGGUUAAAACUCAAAUGAAUUGACGGGGGCCCGCACAAGCGGUGGAGCAUGUGGUUUAAUUCGAUGCAACGCGAAGAACCUUACCUGGUCUUGACAUCCACAGAACUUUCCAGAGAUGGAUUGGUGCCUUCGGGAACUGUGAGACAGGUGCUGCAUGGCUGUCGUCAGCUCGUGUUGUGAAAUGUUGGGUUAAGUCCCGCAACGAGCGCAACCCUUAUCCUUUGUUGCCAGCGGUCCGGCCGGGAACUCAAAGGAGACUGCCAGUGAUAAACUGGAGGAAGGUGGGGAUGACGUCAAGUCAUCAUGGCCCUUACGACCAGGGCUACACACGUGCUACAAUGGCGCAUACAAAGAGAAGCGACCUCGCGAGAGCAAGCGGACCUCAUAAAGUGCGUCGUAGUCCGGAUUGGAGUCUGCAACUCGACUCCAUGAAGUCGGAAUCGCUAGUAAUCGUGGAUCAGAAUGCCACGGUGAAUACGUUCCCGGGCCUUGUACACACCGCCCGUCACACCAUGGGAGUGGGUUGCAAAAGAAGUAGGUAGCUUAACCUUCGGGAGGGCGCUUACCACUUUGUGAUUCAUGACUGGGGUGAAGUCGUAACAAGGUAACCGUAGGGGAACCUGCGGUUGGAUCACCUCCUUA
This 1542-nucleotide ribosomal RNA is filed under the name Escherichia coli. Its description in RNAcentral is "bacterial SSU rRNA". It matches the Rfam family "Bacterial small subunit ribosomal RNA". Lineage: Bacteria; Pseudomonadati; Pseudomonadota; Gammaproteobacteria; Enterobacterales; Enterobacteriaceae. RNAcentral also lists the same sequence under 3 other names. The record is from RNAcentral.